RNAcentral lists this long non-coding RNA (560 nucleotides) under Mus musculus (house mouse). Its description in RNAcentral is "long non-coding RNA chr12:81663787-81664347". Lineage: Eukaryota; Metazoa; Chordata; Mammalia; Rodentia; Muridae. The record is from RNAcentral.
AGACGUGGACUUGUCCUUUUCUCUAGUAGGUCAGCAAAUGGGACAGCUAGGGAAGUCUUGUGGACCGGGGAUGGUUCUGUGGCUUUGACUUGGCCCAGUGUUUCUGAGCCUGGCAGGUGUAUGGUGCCCACAGCCUGGACCCUUCUACUCCUUCCCAGUGGAUCAGAGCAUCUUGAGGAGACUGUGAUGAACGUAAGAAGCGCUGGGCGAACUAAUGCUGAGGAUGUGAAUUUCCUUCUGCCCCCUCAGUCAGUCACCUGAGCUCCUGCCACACCCCCGGACUUGUCCAGGCUUGUACUUUGUUUUCUCCCACUGUGAGGUCAGGUCUUUGCCAGGAUUCACAUGCCUUUAAGGCCCACUCUCAGUGCCCUCUGGUGACCACACAUACCAUUCUCCCACCCCCAGCUAGCCGGCAGCUGUAACAGCAGAAGGGCAGGGUGAAAUGAGCCAAAGGUUGGGGGCAGAGCAGACUGAGUAGGUGACAGAGGAGGGAAAGAAAGAGCAUUGGGUGGACUGAGGGAUUAGGACUAAUUAAUGUAAAUAAAAACUAACUCACAGGC